UACAGAGGUCCCAAGCGUUGUUCGGAUUCACUGGGCGUAAAGGGUGCGUAGGCGGGUUUCUAAGUCAGAGGUGAAAUCCUGGAGCUCAACUCCAGAACUGCCUUUGAUACUGGAAGUCUUGAGUAUGGGAGAGGUGAGUGGAACUGCGAGUGUAGAGGUGAAAUUCGUAGAUAUUGGGAAGAACACCGGUGGCGAAGGCGGCUCUCGUGGACCGAUACGUGACGCGA
Molecule: ribosomal RNA, 227 nt
Filed under: uncultured bacterium
Lineage: Bacteria
Description: partial 16S ribosomal RNA
Rfam family: Bacterial small subunit ribosomal RNA
Source: RNAcentral